Molecule: ribosomal RNA, 500 nt
Filed under: uncultured bacterium
Lineage: Bacteria
Description: bacterial SSU rRNA
Rfam family: Bacterial small subunit ribosomal RNA
Source: RNAcentral
AUGAACGCUAGCUACAAGGCUUAACACAUGCAAGUCGAGGGGCAGCGAGAGGAAAGCUUGCUUCCUGUCGGCGACCGGCGCACGGGUGAGUAACGCGUAUCCAACCUUCCCCAUAGUAGAGGAUAGCCCGGCGAAAGUCGGAUUAAUACUCUAUGUUGUGUCAUGAGGACAUCUGAAUAACACCAAAGAUUUAUCGCUAUGGGAUGGGGAUGCGUCUGAUUAGGUAGUCGGCGGGGUAACGGCCCACCGAGCCGACGAUCAGUAGGGGUUCUGAGAGGAAGGUCCCCCACAUUGGUACUGAGACACGGACCAAACUCCUACGGGAGGCAGCAGUGAGGAAUAUUGGUCAAUGGGCGCGAGCCUGAACCAGCCAAGUAGCGUGCAGGAAUGACUGCCCUAUGGGUUGUAAACUGCUUUUAUGCGGGAAUAAAGUCAGGUACGUGUACCUGUUUGUAUGUACCGCAUGAAUAAGGACCGGCUAAUUCCGUGCCAGCAGCCGC